UGUUGUUUGAACUUCUUUCAAGUUUCUCUAAGUUAUAAAAGUGGUAUGUUUUUUCGGUAAUUUUUUUAACUUAUAGGAGACAUAAUGUCUACAACAGGAAAAGUCAAAUGGUUUGACGCAAAGAAAGGUUUUGGUUUUAUUGAGCAAGAAAGUGGUGACGAUGUAUUCGUUCACUUCCGUGCUAUCCAAGGCGACGGUUACAAAUCACUAGAAGAAGGUCAAGAAGUAGUAUUUGAUCUAGAAGAUGGUGCUAAAGGUCCUCAAGCGGCUAACGUACAUCCUCAGUAAUUUUUAAUUAAAUUACUUAAAAAAACCCAGCUUAAUCGCUGGGUUUUUUAU
RNAcentral lists this small RNA (339 nucleotides) under uncultured Candidatus Thioglobus sp. RNAcentral describes it as "uncultured SUP05 cluster bacterium cspA thermoregulator". It matches the Rfam family "cspA thermoregulator", at positions 74 to 428 of the family's 428-position model. The record is from Rfam by way of RNAcentral. Lineage: Bacteria; Pseudomonadati; Pseudomonadota; Gammaproteobacteria; Pseudothioglobaceae (SeqCode).